GGCCGGAAAAUGGCGGCGGGAAUGGGCUAGAGCCGAACCUCACCGGCCGUCUGGGAACAAGUGCGGAGCAGGAUAAUCGAUUCAGCAACAAACAGAAGAAACUCCUCAAGCCUCCCAAGAGGACAUCCAGCCCUCCUCGGAAAACUCGUAGGUUAUCACCUUCGGCAAGUCCUCCGAGGCGAAGGCACCGGCCGUCAUCUCCAGCAACUCCGCCACCCAAAACUCGCCAUUCCCCAACUCCCCAGCAGUCAAACCGUGCAAGAAAAAGUCGUGUGUCUGUGUCUCCAGGAAGAACCUCGGGUAAAGUGACAAAACAUAAAGGCACUGAGAAAAGAGAGUCACCUUCUCCAGCACCC
This 356-nucleotide long non-coding RNA is filed under the name Rattus norvegicus (Norway rat). RNAcentral's name for it is "long non-coding RNA NONRATT023715". The record is from RNAcentral. Lineage: Eukaryota; Metazoa; Chordata; Mammalia; Rodentia; Muridae.